AACGAACGCUGGCGGCAUGCCUAACACAUGCAAGUCGAACGGGAUCCUAGCUUGCUAGGUGAGAGUGGCGGACGGGUGAGUAACACGUGGGAAUCUGCCUUUUUGGUUCGGGAUAACCGCGGGAAACUGCGGCUAAUACCGAAUGCCCUCGAGAGAGGAAAGAUUUAUCGCCAGAAGAGGAGCCCGCGUCCGAUUAAGGGUAGUUUGGUGGGGGUUAAAAGGCCUACCAAGCCGACGAUCGGUAGCUGGUCUGAGAGGAUGAUCAGCCACACUGGGACUGAGAUACGGCCCAGACUCCUACGGGAGGCAGCAGUGGGGAAUAUUGGACAAUGGGGGCAACCCUGAUCCAGCAAUGCCGCGUGAGUGAUGAAGGCCUUAGGGUUGUAAAGCUCUUUUGUCCAGGGAAGAUGAUGACUGUACUGGAGAA
RNAcentral lists this ribosomal RNA (427 nucleotides) under uncultured bacterium. Its description in RNAcentral is "bacterial SSU rRNA". It matches the Rfam family "Bacterial small subunit ribosomal RNA", at positions 29 to 485 of the family's 1533-position model. The record is from RNAcentral.